GGUUCGUUAGUCUAGUGGUCUAUGACGCCUGCCUGUCACGCAGGAGAUCACGGGUUCAAAUCCCGUACGAACCGCCA
This 77-nucleotide transfer RNA is filed under the name Bacilli bacterium. RNAcentral's name for it is "tRNA-Asp". It matches the Rfam family "tRNA". Rfam says of the family: Transfer RNA (tRNA) molecules are approximately 80 nucleotides in length. Their secondary structure includes four short double-helical elements and three loops (D, anti-codon, and T loops). Lineage: Bacteria; Bacillati; Bacillota; Bacilli. The record is from RNAcentral.